Molecule: long non-coding RNA, 1231 nt
Organism: Hipposideros armiger (great roundleaf bat)
Lineage: Eukaryota; Metazoa; Chordata; Mammalia; Chiroptera; Hipposideridae
Exons: 3
Source: RefSeq, a predicted model, not a curated record
GAAGCUGAACUCUGCUUCCCUUUUCCUUUGAACUUUUGGUUUAGCAUAUGGGAGAAUGGGAUCACUGUGCCCACCUUAUCCUGCUGGCUCUUCUGCCCUGAUUAACUACAGUCCUCUCGUGUAUCCACUCUCUAGGGUAUCAAACUAUCUAGUCUCUAGGGUAUCAAACUGCUUGCUUUUAAAGGUUUAGUGAUAGCAGCUGCCAGAUGGCCCAAGGUUUCCCAUUGUGAGCUUUAUGUCCUUGGGAGCAAAGAUGAAUGUGAUUGAAAAGGAAAGAACCUGCCUGGCACUACUAGCAGCGUAGAGGAGUGAGGCUGUGCUGUGUAUAUACACCCUGCCUCCCUCAGUUCUGUGAACUGCUGCUGCAGGAGGAACAGAAAGCAGAGAGCUGUGCUCUGACUUUGCAGGUGCACCGAAUACCAGACCAGUGAGACGCGAGUCUGGAACGGCAGCAGCGCCGCACAGAUGACUAGUAACCUUGAGGCACCAAGCCCUAGGAACAGAAGCCAGCCUCCCAGCUGCUCCCCCAAGUUUCCACAGCAAACCUGCACCUGCUUUAGCACCAGCAGAGGUAAGGGGGGAACAAGGAAGUACAGGGCGUUUUUCUCUCCUCCACCCCUCACCUCCAGCCUGUUUCUACUUCGGAUUGAAGACAGAAAUUCAACAUAGAUGCCAACAGUGGGUCUUUCUACACCAAGGACUAAAAGAGAAUUUGUAUGUUUCUCCCUUAACCACUGGAGGCUCUGUAACCACAGAUCUAACUAAGAGAAAUCCCUGACAAAGGGAAAGUAAUGAGGUGUGCAGAGGGAAAGGGAACGAAAGAGCUUUCUCUCUCUCUGUCUCUCAUUUGUUUAAUCAUAUCUAAACUUAGUUUUCUGAUACGUUCACGUGCUUAAAGUCCGCACAGAGAGAUACAGGGAAAAGUCCUCCUUGUAUUUCUGUACCCAUAUGCCCGGUUUCUGCUUCACCCGCUUUGGUAGCUACUCAUUAAUUUUCUGUUUAUCCUUACAGUCUCUUUAUGAAAAUACAAGCAAACUAUAUAUAUAGAUACAUAUUUAUGUUUUUUUCUUAUUUUUCACCCUUCUUUAAAACUUAGCAUACUAUAUACACAUUUCUGUACCUUGAUUUUUUUCCUAACAGUAUAUUUUAGAAAGCUUUCUAUAUCAGACAUGAAGAGUUUCCUUAUUCUUUUUUAUAGCUGCACGCAUCUUCCAAUAUAAUUUUUUCAGCC